This 475-nucleotide ribosomal RNA is filed under the name uncultured bacterium. RNAcentral's name for it is "partial 16S ribosomal RNA". It matches the Rfam family "Bacterial small subunit ribosomal RNA", at positions 28 to 523 of the family's 1533-position model. The record is from RNAcentral.
GGUGAACGCUGGCGGCGUGCUUAAGACAUGCAAGUCGAACGCAGUCUUCGGACUGAGUGGCGCACGGGUGAGUAACACGUAACUGACCUACCCCCAAGUCGCGGAUAACUGGCCGAAAGGUCAGCUAAUACGUGAUGUGAUGUCCCCUUUCUGGGGGGCCAUUAAAGGUUUACUGCUUGGGGAUGGGGUUGCGUUCCAGCAGCUAGUUGGCGGGGUAAGGGCCCACCAAGGCAACGACGGAUAGCCGGCCGGAGAGGGUGGCCGGCCACAGGGGCACUGAGACACGGGUCCCACUCCUACGGGAGGCAGCAGUUAGGAAUCUUCCACAAUGGGCGAAAGCCUGAUGGAGCGACGCCGCGUGAGGGAUGAAGGUUCUCGGAUCGUAAACCUCUGAAUCAGGGACGAAAGACGCGUAAGCGGGAUGACGGUACCUGAGUAAUAGCACCGGCUAACUCCGUGCCAGCCGCCGCAGUAA